AUGGAAAGCAGGUAACUCCUUUGUGCAGUUUCAGCUCACUUCCAACAGGGAAGAUGAAUUUGAGUCUUUUCCUGCUUCUAGGAUGGUAGAGAGCAGACUACAGCCUGAGAUCCAUCCCUAGAGUCAAGGAAACUUUUCUUUUGAGCUAUUGGCAACUUUUAAUGAUUAAGUAUACUUCUAUGAACAAAACUUGGAGCAUCUUUGUUUCUCUCUACUCAAUUUCUCCAGAAUUUGGAAACUAUCUGUGCAAAGAACUGAAUGUGUUGCAGUCCAUUGAAUUAAUCCAAAAUUCGUAUGUUGAAUUUCUCACCUUCAAUGGGAUGGUAUGAGAUGAUGGGGCCCUUGGGAAACAAUUAGAGUGAAGCCCUCAUGAAUGGGAUUAGUGGUCUUCUAAAAUGAACCUGAGAGAGUUCUUUCAUCUUCUUCCUGCCAUGUGAAGACAUAAAGAGAUGAUCAUCUAGGAACCAGGCCCUCACCAGACACAAAGUAAGUCUUCUGUCACCUUGAUCUUGAGUAUCUCAGUUUCCAAGCAGUGAGAAAUAAGUAUUGUUCAACCACCCAGUUCGUGGUAUUCUAUUGUAGUGGCCCAAAUGGACUAAGACACUUAUAUUUAAAAAAAAAAAAAAUCUUUAUUAACUGCUUUUCUUUCUUUUUUCUCUUUCUUUCUUCUUUCUCUCUCUCUCUUUCUCUUUCUUUCUUUUUUUGACAAAGUCUCACUCUGUCGCCCCGGCUGGAGUGCAAUGGCGUAAUCUCGCCUCACUGCAACCUCCACCUCCUGGAUUGAAGUGAUUCUCCUGCCUCAGCCUCCUGAAUAGCUGGAUUACAGGCAUACACUACCACGCCCAGCUAAUUUUUGUAUUUUUAGCAGAGACAGAAUUUCACCAUGUUGAUCAGGAUGGUCUCGAACUCCUGACCUCAUGAUCCACUUGCCUUUGCCUCCCAAAGUGCUGGGAUUACAGGUAUGAGCCACUGUGCCCAGCCAACUGCUCAUUUUUCAUAGUUGAAUGUCAUUAAAUAUUGUUUAACAUGGAUAAAAUAACGUAGAGGAAAUUAUGCAGAGAUAACAAUUAGGAA
RNAcentral lists this long non-coding RNA (1074 nucleotides) under Callithrix jacchus (white-tufted-ear marmoset). RNAcentral's name for it is "lncRNA (ENSCJAG00000084695.1)". Lineage: Eukaryota; Metazoa; Chordata; Mammalia; Primates; Cebidae. The record is from RNAcentral.